UCUCAGCUUCUUCAUAAGCUCCCACACGAAUUGCUUGAUUCACUGGUUAGACGAUUGGGUCUGUAGCUCAGUUGGUUAGAGCGCACCCCUGAUAAGGGUGAGGUCGGCAGUUCGAAUCUGCCCAGACCCACCAAUUGUUGGUGUGCUGCGUGAUCCGAUACGGGGCCAUAGCUCAGCUGGGAGAGCGCCUGCUUUGCACGCAGGAGGUCAGGAGUUCGAUCCUCCUUGGCUCCACCAUCUAAAACAAUCGUCGAAAGCUCAGAAAUGAAUGUUCGUGAAUGAACAUUGAUUUCUGGUCUUUGCACCAGAACUGUUCUUUAAAAAUUCGGGUAUGUGAUAGAAGUAAGACUGAAUGAUCUCUUUCACUGGUGAUCAUUCAAGUCAAGGUAAAAUUUGCGAGUUCAAGCGCGAAUUUUCGGCGAAUGUCGUCUUCACAGUAUAACCAGAUUGCUUGGGGUUUAAUAUGGUC
Molecule: transfer RNA, 469 nt
Filed under: Pseudomonas fluorescens
Lineage: Bacteria; Pseudomonadati; Pseudomonadota; Gammaproteobacteria; Pseudomonadales; Pseudomonadaceae
Description: partial 16S-23S ribosomal RNA intergenic spacer
Rfam family: tRNA (bases 57-130)
Source: RNAcentral